Long non-coding RNA from Papaver somniferum (opium poppy), 413 nucleotides. RefSeq lists it as uncharacterized. The record is from RefSeq and is a predicted model, not a curated record. The transcript is spliced from 3 exons. NCBI's taxonomy places the organism in Eukaryota, Viridiplantae, Streptophyta, Magnoliopsida, Ranunculales, Papaveraceae.
AUUGUUUGGAUCGAUGGAUGCUUCCUUUAUCUCAGUUACAUCCCCUUGAUCCAGUUUUACGCCAGCCCUGGCCGAACUCCUUUACAGAGUAUCUAGUAGCUGCCACUGCUUUCCUAAGGGGUUACUCAAUGUUUCUGCCCAAAACCUGUCGAAGAAGAUACAAGAAGAAUGGACUGCUACACUAAGUCAUAACUUCUAAGUCAGCCGAGUAAGUUGAGUAUAAAGAAUGACAAAUCUGAUGCUUGGAAGCUGGACCUGCAUAGUUUGGCAUGUACCUGCACUUUAUCUGACAGAUUGGUGUUUGAUGCCCUACCUUGAAUGCACCGUUGUUUGUGGCUAUCAAAUAUUCUUUGGCACAAAGAAGAGUACAUCCAUGGAUAAACACCCAAUCAGUACCCAAUUGAGUGGAAAGU